CGAACGGGUGAGGAACACGUGAGAAACCUGCCUUUCAUUCUGGGAUAACACCGGGAAACCGGUGCUAAUACCGGAUACUCCGUCUUGGCGGCAUCGCCGAGCCGGGAAAAAAUUUUGAUGAAAGAUGGUCUCGCGGCCUAUCAGCUAGUUGGUGAGGUAAUGGCUCACCAAGGCGACGACGGGUAGCCGGCCUGAGAGGGCGACCGGCCACACUGGGACUGAGACACGGCCCAGACUCCUACGGGAGGCAGCAGUAGGGAAUAUUGGGCAAUGGGCGCAAGCCUGACCCAGCGACGCCGCGUGAGGGAUGAAGGUCUUCGGAUUGUAAACCUCUUUCAGUAGGGAAGAAGCGAAAGUGACGGUACCUAAAGAAGAAGCACCGGCUAACUAUGUGCCAGCAGCCGCGGUAAUACAUAGGGUGCAAGCGUUGUCCGGAAUUAUUGGGCGUAAAGAGCUCGUAGGUCGUUUGUCGCGUCGAUUGUGAAAAUCUGAGGCUCAACCUCAGACCUGCAGUCGAUACGGGCAAACUAGAGUGUGGUAGGGGAGACUGGAAUUCCUGGUGUAGCGGUGGAAUGCGCAGAUAUCAGGAGGAACACCAAUGGCGAAGGCAGGUCUCUGGGCCAUAACUGACACUGAGGAGCGAAAGUGCGGGGAGCGAACAGGAUUAGAUACCCUGGUAGUCCGCACCGUAAACGGUGGGCACUAGUUGUGGGAACCUUCCACGGUUUCCGCGACGCAGCAAACGCAUUAAGUGCCCCGCCUGGGGAGUACGAUCGCAAGAUUAAAACUCAAAGGAAUUGACGGGGCCCCGCACAAGCAGCGGAGCAUGCGGCUUAAUUCGACGCAACGCGAAGAACCUUACCAAGGCUUGACAUAUAGCGAAAAGUGGCAGAGAUGUCAUGUCCGCAAGGGCGCUAUACAGGUGGUGCAUGGUUGUCGUCAGCUCGUGUCGUGAGAUGUUGGGUUAAGUCCCGCAACGAGCGCAACCCUCGUUCUGUGUUACCAGCAUUUAGUUGGGGACUCACAGGAGACUGCCGGGGUCAACUCGGAGGAAGGUGGGGAUGACGUCAAAUCAUCAUGCCCCUUAUGUCUUGGGCUGCACGCAUGCUACAAUGGCCGGUACA
Molecule: ribosomal RNA, 1124 nt
Filed under: uncultured bacterium
Lineage: Bacteria
Description: bacterial SSU rRNA
Rfam family: Bacterial small subunit ribosomal RNA
Source: RNAcentral